Molecule: ribosomal RNA, 293 nt
Filed under: uncultured soil bacterium
Lineage: Bacteria
Description: partial 16S ribosomal RNA
Rfam family: Bacterial small subunit ribosomal RNA
Source: RNAcentral
AGAUUGAACGCUGGCGGCAGGCCUAACACAUGCAAGUCGAGCGGUAGAGAGGUGCUUGCAUCUCUUGAGAGCGGCGGACGGGUGAGUAAUGCCUAGGAAUCUGCCUAGUGGUGGGGGAUAACGUUCGGAAACGGACGCUAAUACCGCAUACGUCCUACGGGAGAAAGCGGGGGACCUUCGGGCCUCGCGCCAUUAGAUGAGCCUAGGUCGGAUUAGCUAGUUGGUGAGGUAAUGGCUCACCAAGGCGACGAUCCGUAACUGGUCUGAGAGGAUGAUCAGUCACACUGGAACUG